GCACUGCUGAGGAGUCCCAUACGAGGACGAAACGGUCGUCCAGUGU
Schistosoma mansoni is the source of this 46-nucleotide non-coding RNA. The record is from Rfam. Lineage: Eukaryota; Metazoa; Platyhelminthes; Trematoda; Strigeidida; Schistosomatidae.